CAGCUAUCUGGGAUUUUAACAUAUCUAAAGAAGGAUUGUGUCAUUCCAAGCCAACUAGAUUAUUCCCGGAAUCUUGGAAAACAGGAACUGCAGAGGUCUAUGGGUUCUUGGCCCCAGACCUGGGAGAUUUAAGGUGAGGAGAGAUGGAUGCUCUGGGAUGUGUUAAUUCAACCUACUAAGCUUUCAGGUCACUGUACCUUCGACUCUCGCAGAUUCUACUGUACCUUUCCAUGGGCAGGAAAUCAGAGAAAUCAAAGGCGGCCAAUGAGAGGGCAGCGUGCAGGCCUCCUCUGCUCAGAAGCCAGCUGUGGUGAGAAGGCUGGCAGCUGUGGGUGUGGAGCCAAGUCACAUGGAGGCCAGUCAAGUGAACAGGGGAUGUCACACUGGAGAAGCACACAAAAGUCCUCUUUACACAAUCGAAGGGCUGUCGUGGGGCAGAGGACUCAAGGU
Molecule: long non-coding RNA, 450 nt
Filed under: Neogale vison (American mink)
Lineage: Eukaryota; Metazoa; Chordata; Mammalia; Carnivora; Mustelidae
Description: Neovison vison (American mink) lncRNA (ENSNVIG00000007047.1)
Source: RNAcentral